AUGCUAAGAGGAUACGAGCGGUCCACAUUACACAAUGCAGCUGCAGGUGUAAGAAUGGUAUGGCAAAGGUUGGAAGACUGCUAUGGAUCGCCAGAAGCAAUUGAAGAAGCUCGCCUAAAGAAACUGGAUGAUUUUCCAAGAAUCUCACAUCGAGAAAAUCAAAAGCUGAGAGAGCUGGGAGACAUUCUCUUGGAGCUUGAAGCCGCCAGAGCCGAUGGGUUCCUACCAGGCCUCAGUUACCUGGACACAUCUCGGGGCAUCACUCCAAUCGUCCAAAAGUUGCCAUACUCCCUGCAUGACAAGUGGGUCUCUCUAGCAUCUCGUUACAAAGAAAAUCAUCAAGCGUCUUACCCACCGUUCUCCUUCUUCGCAAAGUUUGUUUGUGAUCAAGCCAAAACACUCAAUGAUCCAAGUUUUGCCCCUCUUACAGGUGGUUGGAGGACAGGGAAGCCAGAACACUCCUUCAAAUCAAACAUGAAAAUACCCAUUUCUGUUAAAAAGACAGAAGUCUCCUCAAGCUCUAAAAGCAUGCAAGCCAGUCCCGCAGGGAAGAGGAGGGCUGAACCAGAUGAACAAUGCCCACUCCAUAACAAACCACACCCCCUCAGAAACUGUCGUGGGUUUAGGAGUAAAUCUUUAGAGGAAAGGAAAGCUUAUCUUAAAGAGAAUAAUAUUUGCUUUAAGUGCUGCGCUUCAUUCACUCAUCUAGCGAAAGACUGCCACAAAAACAUUCAGUGCAGAGAGUGCAGGAGUGAGAACCACCCUACUGCGCUACACCCAGGGCCGGCCCCCUGGAUAUCAGAGUCUUCUGUAACCGCAAGAGAGCAAGGCGGGGAGCAAGGAGAAGAAGCUUCUCAAGCUGUCACAGCAAAAUGCACAGACAUUUGUGGGACUUCCGUCAGAUCAAAGUCGUGCUCCAAAAUCUGUCUUGUCAGAGUUUAUCCAGCUGGCCAGAGGGAGAAAGCUGUUAAGGCGUACGUUGUUCUCGACGAGCAAAGCAACAAGUCUUUGGCAAGAACAGAGUUUUUUGAGCUCUUUGGAGUUACAGAGGGCACGGCAGCAUACACCUUGAAGACCUGCUCAGGAGUUAUGGAAACAACAGGGCGCCGAGCUAACAAUUUCAUCAUGGAGUCAUUAGAUGGUAAGACUCACAUUCCACUCCCCACCUUAAUCGAAUGUGACAUGCUUCCUGAUGAUAAGUCUGAAAUCCCCACACCUGAGAUUGCCAGACAUUAUCCACAUUUCAAGCGGGUUGUGGAUAAAAUCCCGGCUAUAGAUCCAUCAGCAAGCAUCCUGAUCUUGCUCGGUCGAGAUGUACCACAGGCACACAAGGUUCGAGAGCGAUGCAAUGGGCCCCACGAUGCCCCCUACGCCCAGCGUCUCGACUUGGGAUGGGUGAUUGUGGGAGAGGUUUGUCUCGGAAGAGCUCACAAACCGGAGUUUGUAAACGUCUAUCGGUGCAACGUGCUGAGUAACGGUCGUACAUCUCUGUUUGACCCUUGCACUAACAGUCUACACAUCAAAGAGAAGCUUGACACUCCAGAGCAGCAUCGUCAGUUUCUAGGCGCUAACGCAUCCGAAAUCCUGUUUGAUGGGAAAGAUGGCCUUGGGAAAGGGGUCUUCCAGCAAACGCCAUAUGAUAACAAGCCUGCCAUGUCUGUGGAAGACAAAGUCUUUCUGGAAAUAAUGGACAACGAGGUCUUCAUAGACGACUCGAAUAGUUGGGUGGCACCACUACCCUUCAGGCAACCAAGGCGCAAACUCCCUAACAACCGAGCCCAAGCAGUCAAGCGUCUUUUGACACUACGGCACAUGCUGGAGAAGAAGCUAGACAUGAAAGAACACAUGAUUGCCUUCAUGCAGAAGAUCUUUGAGGCAGGUCAUGCUGAACCAGUACCACCAACCACUGGUGAACAGGAGUGCUGGUAUUUACCAAUCUUUGGAGUGUAUCAUCCGCGAAAACCAGGUCAGGUACGGGCAGUGUUCGACUCCAGCGCUAAGCAUGAUGGUGUCUCACUGAAUGACAUCCUGCUGAGUGGCCCUGACUUGAAUAAUUCACUUUUAGGAGUCCUCAUCCGCUUCCGCAAGGAACCUGUAGCGGUGGCAGCAGACAUAGAACAGAUGUUCUAUUGCUUCAAAGUCCGCCAUGAUCACCGGGACUUCCUACGUUUCCUCUGGUUCGAGGACAAUGACCCCACCAAGCGCAUCACAGAGUAUAGGAUGACCGUGCACGUAUUCGGCAACCGCCCCUCUCCCGCUGUUGCCAUAUACGGCUUGAGAAGAGCAGCUCUGCAAGGACAGGAAGACCACAGUGCAGAGGCAAAACAGUUUGUUCUAAAGAACUUCUACGUGGACGAUGGUCUUGCUUCCUUCCCCACCGACGACAACGCCAUCCGAGUCCUGAAGGAAACCAAGGAGAUGUUGGCUGAUUCCAACAUACGGCUACAUAAGAUAGCCUCCAACCACGACGUAGUAGUGGAGGCGUUUCCACCUGAGGAACGGGCUAAAGAGCUGAAAGACCUAGAGCUUGGUGUGGAUCCGUUGCCUAUGCAGAGAAGCUUAGGUCUCAACUGGCACCUUCAAACCGACAGCUUUACCUUUCUUGUCUCCCAGGAGGAGAAGCCCUUUACCCGUAGAGGUAUUCUCUCCACAGUUAACAGCAUAUUCGACCCGUUGGGGUUUGCAGCUCCUAUUGUAGUCCAGGGCAAGGCGAUAGUCAGAGAGCUAUGCGCUGAGCAUUUCGAUUGGGACACCCCAAUACCUGCUGAAAAAGUGGCGCAGUGGAAGUCUUGGAGAGAUUCACUGAAGGCACUCGAGCAACUUCACAUACCAAGGCCAUACCUACCUGUUUCCCUGCUUUCCACACAGCACAGGGAGUUAUGUGUCUUUUGCGACGCGUCCACCAUGGCCAUCUCUGCAGUUGCCUACCUCAGGGCAGUGGAUGAUGAAGGACACUGUCUUGUAGGAUUCUGCAUGGGAAUAUCUAAAUUAGCACCCCGGCAUUCCCAUACUGUGCCCCGUCUAGAGCUUUGUGCGGCCGUACUAGCAGUUGAGCUGGCUGAUACCUUGAGGGAUGAGCUAGAUGUCGGAAUCCACACAGUGAAGUUUUACACCGACUCCAGAGUUGUGCUGGGCUACAUCUACAACGCCAACCGGAGGUUUUAUGUGUAUGUUGCUAACAGAGUAGCACGCAUCCGGAAGUCUUCGCAGCCUGAACAGUGGCACUUUGUCAGUUCGGAACACAAUCCUGCCGACCAUGGUACCAGACCAGUUCCAGCUGCACUGUUGAGAGAUACAAACUGGUUUUCUGGACCGUCGUUUCUUGAGAACGAUGAGAGAGUUGCACUUACCCCACCAGAGUUCUUUGAGCUUGUUGAACCAGACGGGGAUGCAGAUGUGCGUCCACUGAUUGCAACCUUUGCUACAGGAGCUUCUGAAAGACAGCUUGGUUCACACAGGUUUGAGCGCUUUUCCAGCUGGAAGACACUUGUAUGUGGCAUCGCCAAGCUCGUCCAGAAAGUCAGAUCCUGUGCUAAGACUCUGGAGGGAGAUUUGACAAAGGUAGAUGAGCGUACACAGGCAAGAACAGUAAUCGUACAGACUGUACAGCACGAGGCCUUCAAAGAAGAACUCAAGAGCCUGUCCAAAGGAGAGCUUGUCUCAAAACACAGUCCUCUCAGGAAACUUGACCCUUUCUUGGAUUCAGAUGGUGUACUGAGAGUUGGUGGCCGCACGUCAUUAUCCGCAAUCUCAUGGGAAGAGAAACAUCCCAUAAUCAUUCCCAAAAGCAACCACAUUGCUACCUUGUUGGUGCGGUAUUAUCAUGAGCAAGUAGUACACCAAGGUAGGCACUUCACGGAAGGGGCCAUCAGAUCCGCAGGACUGUGGAUUCUGGGAGGAAAAAGACUUGUAUCAAGUAUCAUACACAAGUGUGUCACCUGUAGGCGGUUGAGAGGAAGUCUGGAAAAACAAAAAAUGUCCAACUUACCUGCUGAUCGGUUGACCCAAUCUCCUCCUUUCACCCAAGUUGGAUUAGAUGUUUUUGGACCAUGGACGGUUUGCGCCCAUCGCACGAGGGGAGGCCUUGCAGAGAGUAAGCGCUGGGCUGUUAUGUUUACCUGUUUAGUAACCAGGGCAGUUCACCUGGAGGUGAUAGAAUCUCUGUCUACGUCGAGCUUCAUAAAUGCGCUUAGGCGAUUCACUGCCAUCAGAGGUCCAGCAAAGCCCUUUCGUUCAGACCGAGGCACGAACUUUGUCGGUGCAUGUAAAGAACUUGGUAUAACCCCACAAGAUGCAACACUUCAGUCUUACCUGAAAGACCAAGGCUGCACAUGGGACUUCAAUCUUCCACACUCCAGCCACAUGGGGGGAGCAUGGGAAAGAAUGAUAGGGAUGGCUCGACGCAUUUUGGAUAGCAUGUUGCUCAAGAUGCAUUCCCCUAGUCUUUCACACGAAGUGCUCACCACGCUUAUGGCAGAGGGCGCAGCCAUCAUGAAUGCCCGGCCAAUAGUCCCUGUGUCUUCAGAUCCAGACAUGCCGACCAUACUCACCCCUGCUAUGCUUUUAACGCAAAAGGUGGACUCCGUGUCUGCUCCCUUGGAAGACAUCAACCCCAAGGAUCUCUACCGAAGUCAGUGGAAGCAAGUUCAAAGCCUUGCGGAUUCAUUCUGGAAAAGAUGGCGUCAAGAGUACCUGACGACACUCCAGCCAAGAAGGAAAUGGCAAGCAGAACAAGCCAACCUGCAAGUUGGAGGUGUUGUGCUCCUAAAGGACAAGGAGUCUAAACGAAAUCAAUGGCCCACAGGACUUGUGGUAAAUACCUUUCCGGGUCAAGACAGCAGGGUCCGGAAAGUGGAGGUGAGAGUUGUUCAAGGAGGCACCCCCAGGGUGUAUUCGAGACCCGCCACUGAAGUUGUUGUUACUCAGAGGGACAUAGCGGUAUAG
RNAcentral lists this long non-coding RNA (4944 nucleotides) under Oreochromis niloticus (Nile tilapia). RNAcentral describes it as "lncRNA (ENSONIG00000029921.1)". The record is from RNAcentral. Lineage: Eukaryota; Metazoa; Chordata; Actinopteri; Cichliformes; Cichlidae.